AGAUGUUGGAGGUUUAGUGGUGGGUGGAAGGUGUCAUGAUCCUGAGAGAGAGAGAGAUCACUGAUAGAUGUCAGAGAUGUUGGAGGUUUAGUGGUGGGUGGAAGGUGUCAUGAUCCUGAGAGAGAGAGAGAUCACUGAUAGAUGUCAGAGAUGUUGGAGGUUUAGUGGUGGGUGGAAGGUGUCAUGAUCCUGAGAGAGAGAGAGAUCACUGAUAGAUGUCAGAGAUGUUGGAGGUUUAGUGGUGGGUGGAAGGUGUCAUGAUCCUGAGAGAGAGAGAUCACUGAUAGAUGUCAGAGAUGUUGGAGGUUUAGUGGUGGGUGGAAGGUGUCAUGAUCCUGAGAGAGAGAGAGAUCACUGAUAGAUGUCAGAGAUGUUGGAGGUUUAGUGGUGGGUGGAAGGUGUCAUGAUCCUGAGAGAGAGAGAGAUCACUGAUAGAUGUCAGAGAUGUUGGAGGUUUAGUGGUGGGUGGAAGGUGUCAUGAUCCUGAGAGAGAGAGAUCACUGAUAGAUGUCAGAGAUGUUGGAGGUUUAGUGGUGGGUGGAAGGUGUCAUGAUCCUGAGAGAGAGAGAGAUCACUGAUAGAUGUCAGAGAUGUUGGAGGUUUAGUGGUGGGUGGAAGGUGUCAUGAUCCUGAGAGAGAGAGAGAUCACUGAUAGAUGUCAGAGAUGUUGGAGGUUUAGUGGUGGGUGGAAGGUGUCAUGGUGCCUCCAGCUUCAGGCAUGGCGUUCUAACAGAGUCUGUAGUCCAUCUUAGCCACAGAGGUAAA
This is a long non-coding RNA of Oncorhynchus keta (chum salmon), 765 nucleotides long. RefSeq lists it as uncharacterized. The transcript is spliced from 3 exons. The record is from RefSeq and is a predicted model, not a curated record. Lineage: Eukaryota; Metazoa; Chordata; Actinopteri; Salmoniformes; Salmonidae.